This 410-nucleotide long non-coding RNA is filed under the name Salvia miltiorrhiza (redroot sage). RNAcentral describes it as "long non-coding RNA (SMIL_LNC009715)". Lineage: Eukaryota; Viridiplantae; Streptophyta; Magnoliopsida; Lamiales; Lamiaceae. The record is from RNAcentral.
GAUGACACAGAUGGUGUCUAGUAGAUCUAGUACUCAGUCCACUAGCACGUCUCAGACUGCCCCUGCUGCUUCUCUUGAGGAGGUCGAGGCGCUAAGAGCUGAAAUAAAUGCUCAGGUUGCUAAAGGGAACAACCUCGAGGCACGUAUGCUGGAGCAAGAUGGCACCAUUAAUGAUCUCAAGAGUAUGUUAACGGAGUUGAUGGAAAAUAUGAAGAAGGGUCAUAAUCCUUGAUACUUUUUAUGAAGUUUGAAUUUAUGUUGUGUUGAGUUUGGAUUUAUGUAGUAACUAUGGAGUUAGAAUUUAUGAUACUUGAUAUUUAGCUUAAUUUAGGUAUGUUGAAUUUGGAUGUUUAGCAAGUAUGUUUGACUUUGGAUGUUUAGUAAGUAUGUUUGAAUUUGGAUGUUAAGUA